This 716-nucleotide long non-coding RNA is filed under the name Sus scrofa (pig). RNAcentral's name for it is "lncRNA (ENSSSCG00030057208.1)". The record is from RNAcentral. Lineage: Eukaryota; Metazoa; Chordata; Mammalia; Artiodactyla; Suidae.
AUGUUUGCAACCCUCGCUCGGCUACCUGCUUUGAGUCCCGGAUGUCUGCGGAGCUCUCUCAUUUCGCUCCACACGGACUCAGAGCGGAAGUCGCUCCUAGUCCGCGCCUUUGCUUUUCUCCACGCGGCAGGGGUCUGCACCGGGUGCCCCCCUUCCGGCCACGCGAGCCUCCUCGCCGCAGUGUCGUCCUCCAGAAGGGUGUUGACAGGGUCCCGGACUUCAACCUGUACCCGCCCCCUUCCUGCCCAGCUCUUCGGAGAUGCGCGGCUCGCGAGGGGUGAGAAAUGACCGUCUCCAUCAAUCGUCGCUUUUCCUGGAUCUCCUCAUAGACAGGCUGCCAGCUGUUUUGUUCAUGACUGCUCAUAGGAGGCCCUUGACAAAGGUAAGUUGCCUGAAUGAACGACUACUGUGUACAGGUGGGUACAGGUAUUAACUUUCUAUUCCUGACGGCAUUUUACAGAGGAGGGGCUGGAAGUAUCCUAAGUGUCAGAGCUGGGAUUUGAACCCAGGGUGGACGUCUUCUACUGGCAAGUGUUUCUCUGAUUUCCCUCUUCGCCUGGAGUAUGCACGUCUAGAAUGGCCCGGAAGUGAGUUCAUCCAUCCUGCACCCCUGGUCAGGUGCUUCCCACCUCCCUGGCCAGGGGCCUCGAGGUCCCCGUGUUCGCGUCUCAGGUGUGCCAGCUCUGCCGCGGUCCCAGGCCCUGGGAACGGGUUGG